RNAcentral lists this microRNA (22 nucleotides) under Eisenia fetida (common brandling worm). RNAcentral describes it as "Efe-Novel-5_3p* (star (passenger))". The record is from RNAcentral. Lineage: Eukaryota; Metazoa; Annelida; Clitellata; Crassiclitellata; Lumbricidae.
UCUAUCUUCUGAACCUUUUGGA